This is a long non-coding RNA of Phyllopteryx taeniolatus (common seadragon), 1845 nucleotides long. RefSeq lists it as uncharacterized. The record is from RefSeq and is a predicted model, not a curated record. The transcript has 3 exons. NCBI's taxonomy places the organism in Eukaryota, Metazoa, Chordata, Actinopteri, Syngnathiformes, Syngnathidae.
UAUAGCAUCCAAGGUAGAUUACUGAAGGAUGUUCUUAGGAUGACUCCCUUUUCUGAUAACACCCAAGGCCAGAGGUACCUUCUGCUGAAACAUAUAUUAAAACUUUCUCCCAGGCAGAUCCAACUUACAUAGAUGCAAUUGGAAUUCCAAGAGGGGUACCUGAUGAAGACAAAUUAGUAGAUCAAGUAGCAGCAAGGUUUGAAUCUACAAUCUGUUGGUGGUGUACAACCAAUAAAAACGUAGACCGAAUAAACUACAUCCACUACAAUGUACAGCGUUAGGAAACUGGACACAAGACGGUUUUGAGGCCGUACAUGAACAACUGGCUGCCACAUCUUUAAUGUAAUUUCAGAACGGAAUUGCACUAGAUAUGUUGCUUGCGGAGAGAGGAGAUGUGUGUGCCAUGUUUGGAGCACUGUGCUGUACACACCGCUGCAGAUGGCAGCCUGACCAGGGCCAUUGAUGGCCUGCGCACCCUCAACCGCAAGAUGAAAGAGCAUUCUGGCGUGGACAUCCAUGUGGAACGAAUGGAUGAAAGUGUUUGGCAAGUAUAAGAUGUUGGCCUCAUCAAUUUUAAUAUCAAUAGCAGUAUUUGCUGCAAUACUGACAUUGUGUGGAUGUUGCUGUAUUCCAUGUUUACGAGCAAUUCUGAAUAGAUGAAUCACCACCGCAAUCCAACCUAUGAGCAAUCGUGCAGAACAAAUGUACCCCCUUCUAACAAAAUAGAACCAGGAUAGUUCUGAUGACGAUGAUGAUAAAGAAAUGGAGAUCGGGACAUUAUUUGAUUCAACUCAGGAGAUCAAAUAAAGCAUUUCAUGUCUUGUGUUCAUGAUAAUGAUCUUACAGCCAAAAAUCAGAAGAAGCGGCUGCUAAAUAAGUGAUGUGAAACAUAAGCAAAAACAUGAUAAACAGGAGGGAAAUGAGGGAAAAAUGUAAAUAAGUUAUCAUGUGUUGUGCUUUUCUGCUUACUUCUAGUGAGAGAAAUGUUUUAUCACUGCGUGCAAAGUUUUCUCCCACAGGAUGAGUCAUGUCCUUGCAGGCGCAAGGACAAAUUUGAGCCGAGGAGUUUCCUGUGUCUUGAUAAGAAGUAUAUAAUUCUUCUACUGUCUCAACCACAACAAAGAGUGUUAUGUGCUGAUCAACAAGCAUGUAUGCCCCCACCUUUUUGACGUAACUCAUAUGUAACAAGGGAACUGCCCUAAAGUAAUAAAGAGAGAGAAUCUGGCAGAGUGAACUCAGAAAAUGGUUGGAGACUGUAACUAGGUACACUUUGGCCGUUUUCUCCUUGCAAGUCUGAAAACUGAACUCUCUCUGUGUCUGUCUUGAUUUUUUACAAGUGUUUUAGGUGUCUUGAACCUGACAGCCGGCCUACAAAAAUUACCCCAAGAGAACAGCAAAGACUCAUCCAGGAGGGCACAAAGGAACCCAGGACAACUUCUAAAGAACUGCAGGCCUCCCUUGCCUCAGUUCAGAAGUGGGAUUCCAGAUGGUAGCCACAAUUCAGGAGAUUGAAGGAAGGGACCGAAGAUGGAUCCUCUUGACGAGAGGAGUGAGCCUCAACUACGAGACCACUUCCCGGGAGCCACGUCCCAAAAGUGGCAAGCUCUUCCCGGAAGUACACUAUAUUGCCAAAGCCCUUGAAGGAUGCCCACGUCCAGGUUGCUGACAGCCCCACCGUGUCAACUGCGGCACAGAGCAUGGGAGGACAUUGACCCAGCACAGUUCCAGCAGGAACAGAAGGAUGACCCUGUCCUUGACUGUGUCCAAGGAUAGAUUGAAGCAGGCCAACGACCUGCAUGGUCAGCUGUUUCCAUGCUAGACUUGGAGAUGAAGGCCCUGUACUCC